UACGUAGGGUGCAGGCGUUAAUCGGAAUUACUGGGCGUAAAGCGUGCGCAGGCGGUUUGCUAAGACAGGUGUGAAAUCCCCGGGCUUAACCUGGGAACUGCGCUUGUUACUGGCAGGCUUGAGUGUGGCAGAGGGGGGUGGAAUUCCACGUGUAGCAGUGAAAUGCGUAGAGAUGUGGAGGAACACCGAUGGCGAAGGCAGCCCCCUGGGAUAACACUGACGCUCAUGCACGAAAGCGUGGGGAGCAAACAGG
RNAcentral lists this ribosomal RNA (253 nucleotides) under uncultured bacterium. Its description in RNAcentral is "partial 16S ribosomal RNA". It matches the Rfam family "Bacterial small subunit ribosomal RNA", at positions 524 to 776 of the family's 1533-position model. The record is from RNAcentral.